This is a non-coding RNA of Octopus bimaculoides (California two-spot octopus), 45 nucleotides long. The record is from Rfam. NCBI's taxonomy places the organism in Eukaryota, Metazoa, Mollusca, Cephalopoda, Octopoda, Octopodidae.
GGUUUGGUCCUUUUUAGGACCACACAUUUUCAAGAAAAAAAUAUA